GGGAGAGGCCGGCCGCAAACCCCCAAAUGUGAAACAGGUAUCGUGACUUCUGCUCGCUCAAGUCGAAGAGAAUCAUGUUUUUUUGGAGCUAUUAUCCCCAAGGAGUCUCGAAAAUGAUCUGCAACAUACAGUGAAACUGACACGCAGAAAACAUGCGUAUUUAGGAAGUAUUCCCGGUGUGGUUUGUACGUAGCCAAAACAUUCUGUUUCUCGCGGGGUAGAAAAGAAAGUCUGCACUCCAACUGCCUCCAUUUGGAGAACACGUUUAUUAAAAUGUCAUCUUCCGUGGCUGUGUUAAUGCGCGAUCCGGGAGACGUUUCCUAUUUGUACGCUACACCCCUGCUUGCGAAGGUCUACACCCUGUGGCACAACACCGGCGCUUGAGGAGGCCAGAUGGCUAAUUCUGAAAGAACUGUCUGCUCGAUAUCACCCAGGAAGGACUCAGACUAAUUCACCCCUCAUUGGGGCAUGUAUGUCGGAGAACAUCUCUUUAAACACAGUCACAUCCUGAAGGCUGCGCAUCGUCCUUGUUUCUUCCGAAGUUGACAAAAUUCAUUUGGCCUCGUUUAAAUGGAUUUUCUUUUCAGUAGCGUAUAAGCAGUCCUCAGUUCCAAAAGGGAAGCUCGACUGGGGACUGCCGGCUAAGGUCACAAGGGAGAAAACACUCUUGCCGUCUGUCUUCGGGGCAAUCGUGGCUAAGACAGACGGUGUCCAGGGUCCCUAGUAAGGAGAAUAUUCAUAGUGAUUAUAUACAAUCUGUUAGGAUCGUAGCAGCUUUCACUUGUGUGCCAAACUGUAGAGUAACACUUGGCAUCCACUUUUUCAGUUAAACCAGACAACACGAUUUCAAGAGGGCCAAUAGGCACUGAUCUACACUGACGACACUCCAAGAGCUCAGAGAGGUUAAUCAACGUGCCAAGUUCACACGACGGGUCUAUGGAAGAGGCAGAACUCAAACCGGAACGGACCUGCACGCAAAGCUUUGUUCUUAAACACGGUGCUGGCCUGCCCCUUGCUCCGCUACCUGUAUUCACACUUGGCUGACUUUGCGGUCACCCUUUCUUCUGUCCACUCUGGCCUGCCCAACACAUAACCCUGCGCUCCAGAAGGGAGGCAGUGUACCCCUGGUCAUUAAGAGUUGACGGGCUGGGCUCAGAAUGCCUGGGUUUGAAACCUGGCUCCGUCAUUUACCUACGGGGCGACCCUGGGCGUGCUUCCCAGCCUGUGAAUGGGAAUGUGGGAGAUUUCCACCUGAUACGGUUGCUGUAAAAAUAAAAUGGGCGAAAAUAUUUCAAUGUAGGAUCGUUUGGGGUUCCUAGUGCCACCACGCAGUUAAUGUGAGGGAGGGAAAGCAGGCAGGGAAAGAGGGAGUGGGAGGAAAAGAAGAAAAAAGAAACGAGAAGAGAGGAGGAAAGGACAGAGGAGAGGAGAGAGAAGGAGGAGAAAAGAAAAGAAAGGGAGGAAAAGGGAGACAGGUUGGAAGACAGAAAAGAAAGAACAGGGGAAAGAGAGCAAGGAAGGAAAGAGGAAAGAAAAAGAAAGCGAGGUGAGGCCGAAAGGAAAGAAAGAAGGAAAGAGAAAAAGGGAGAGAGAGAGAGAAAGGGAAAAGAAAUGAACGUCAAAGGAAGGGGACGUGUUCUACGCACUGGGUCACCACGGAAGGAGGGCCAUUACCCACAGGCGAUGGUGGAGCGAGGGACGAGCAUCUCAAGGCCUCAGACAAGCCUAGUGGGCAGCCCCAGGGCCUCUCCCACUGUUGACCGACUCAACACCCUUAGCGUUAACCCUCUUCCUGCACAGCCUCGUCCCCCGCAAGCUCCCGAGGCGGUGCCAACGGCUUCCCAGCCUCGCCGUCCUGCGGGGGUGAAACCGUCCUGGCCCAGCCUUCUCUGCGCGGGUCGGGUCACGUGACCACCCCCCGAGCCAAUCACCAAGACCCAAGGCAUACCGCCUGCCGAUCGGCUUUCUGGCCUCACGCGCUUCACCCUUGCUCAGGAACCGAGUCCCACGGACUGCAAAGUGGAAGAGGGAACGAUUCCGUGGAGGGACUUGGGGUGCAGUUGCCCAGAGCAGAAUGCACGUGGGAGCGGCAAGUUGCUGUCUGCCGCGGGCGAAACUUGCCUGCUGAGAGCGUACCCACCCCCCCACCCCGGUCCUUGACGAUCCCUUGUUUCGGUGUCGUUGGUGUGGUUCCGGGACUUGGGCGCUUGGGUUUGACUCUUGGCUUCAUCGCUGACUAGCUGUGCGACCCUGGACGGGCUGAUCCACCUGUCUCUGCUUCAGUUUCCCUUGUGAAUGGGGUCAGCAAUCGAUCUUCCUCACCGAUGGGCAAGUACUACCGUGUUCGGCCUAAUGUGAACGCGUACUCGGCACCCAACACAUUUUCGCCGUUGGAUAUUCGAAGAUGAUUUGAGACGAGAAGAAGAGAAGGUCCCCUAGUUAGAAGUGUAGGACAGAGGGACUGUAACACCCGUUAGCCUUGCAGACAGUCCGGCCCGCUGCACGUUUGGGACGGAAAUCCGGUGGAGACGGCUCAGAGGAGAAAGAUGCCCACUGAAAUGCUUAGGCUCCUCGUCUCCCAGAAACCAUUAAGGCGUCUCAUUUGCAGUUUGUCUACAAUCUUUUGGGCUCAUUGAAGCUUCCAGGUAGUGUCAUCUGUGAAUGCUAAUAAAUCCCGUAUGUUUGUUUUCCUA
This is a long non-coding RNA of Acinonyx jubatus (cheetah), 2693 nucleotides long. RefSeq lists it as uncharacterized. The record is from RefSeq and is a predicted model, not a curated record. The transcript is spliced from 2 exons. Lineage: Eukaryota; Metazoa; Chordata; Mammalia; Carnivora; Felidae.